Non-coding RNA from Pelobates cultripes (western spadefoot toad), 345 nucleotides. The record is from the annotation of a GenBank genome assembly. Lineage: Eukaryota; Metazoa; Chordata; Amphibia; Anura; Pelobatidae.
CUCCUGAGUAAUGAUUAAACAAGGUACGUUCAAGCCUUUGAUAGGUACAAAGUGGCUGAUAUCACAGUUUUACUAGGUUCGGCUCAUGUUUACAAAGGGUGCGUAAGAACACAUUGGGACAAGCAUUGGCUCUACAAUGAUUUGUCCAUCUGAAUCAUUGUUAACACUUUUGAUGCCAAAAUGUUUAACAGCAAUUUGGCAUGGCCAAUACCGACUAACACAAGUAUUUCAAACACAUAAUGAGUAAAAUAAGUUCUGUAAUGUGAUUUUUAACGGCAGAGGAGGUUUGGAGUACGGGUGAUUACGGUGCCACAGUGGUAUUGUCCAUAAAUUAUCUGUUUAAUG